CUCGUCCUGGCUGCCCAGGAAGUAGUGUCUUCUUUUGCAAGCUGGGGGAGGGGGUUAAAGAUGCUGGCGCUGCCCUCUAGCCGGCUGCUGGGGAGAUCAAAGGAGAUUCGGGCUGUGGAAGGCUCCCUAGCGUCGGAGAUGGAGUUAGGAGAGGGCGCCAAAGGCGACGUGCCGGCGGCCAGCUCCAGGCCGAGCCCCGAGCGCCUGCAGGAACAGGCCCCUUCACCCGGCGCGGGACGCAGAGCAGCGCGAGAAUGUUGUUUCAGUGCGGACUCAACGCCAGGGCGCCGCCUAGAGGUUGGUCUCUGUCUCGUCCUCACCCGCCGGGAGACCACAGAGCUGCUUCACCAGCCGCCCGCCGCCAGAAAUUGAAAAAACAA
RNAcentral lists this long non-coding RNA (380 nucleotides) under Pongo abelii (Sumatran orangutan). RNAcentral's name for it is "lincRNA". Lineage: Eukaryota; Metazoa; Chordata; Mammalia; Primates; Hominidae. The record is from RNAcentral.